Molecule: ribosomal RNA, 797 nt
Filed under: uncultured Glomus
Lineage: Eukaryota; Fungi; Glomeromycota; Glomeromycetes; Glomerales; Glomeraceae
Description: SSU rRNA
Rfam family: Eukaryotic small subunit ribosomal RNA
Source: RNAcentral
AUCAACUUUCGAUGGUAGGAUAGAGGCCUACCAUGGUGGUAACGGGUAACGGGGUGUUAGGGCACGACACCGGAGAGGGAGCCUGAGAAACGGCUACCACAUCCAAGGAUGGCAGCAGGCGCGCAAAUUACCCAAUCCCGAUACGGGGAGGUAGUGACAAUAAAUAACAAUACGGGGUUCUUUCGGAUCUCGUAAUUGGAAUGAGUACAAUUUAAAUCUCUUAACGAGGAACAAUUGGAGGGCAAGUCUGGUGCCAGCAGCCGCGGUAAUUCCAGCUCCAAUAGCGUAUAUUAAAGUUGUUGCAGUUAAAAAGCUCGUAGUUGAAUUUCGGGAUCAGUAGGUUGGUCAUGCCUAUGGUAUGUACUGGCUUUACUGGUUCCUCCUUCUUGAUGAUCUGUAAUGUCAUUAAUUUGGUGUUGCAGGGAGUCAGGACUGUUACUUUGAAAAAAUUAGAGUGUUUAAAGCAGGCAUACGCUUGAAUACAUUAGCAUGGAAUAAUGAAAUAGGACGUUCGAUCCUAUUUUGUUGGUUUCUAGGAUUGACGUAAUGAUUAAUAGGGAUAGUUGGGGGCAUUAGUAUUCAAUUGUCAGAGGUGAAAUUCUUGGAUUUAUUGAAGACUAACUACUGCGAAAGCAUUUGCCAAGGAUGUUUUCAUUAAUCAAGAACGAAAGUUAGGGGAUCGAAGACGAUCAGAUACCGUCGUAGUCUUAACCAUAAACUAUGCCGACUAGGGAUCGGAUGAUGUUAUUUUUAAUGACUCAUUCGGCGCCUUACGGGAAACCAAAGUGUUUGGGUUC